This 260-nucleotide ribosomal RNA is filed under the name uncultured bacterium. RNAcentral's name for it is "partial 16S ribosomal RNA". It matches the Rfam family "Bacterial small subunit ribosomal RNA", at positions 524 to 776 of the family's 1533-position model. The record is from RNAcentral.
UACGUAGGGUGCAAGCGUUGUCCGGAAUUAUUGGGCGUAAAGAGCUCGUAGGCGGUUUGUCGCGUCGGCUGUGAAAGCCCCGGAGCUCAACUCCCGGGGUCUGCAGUCGAUACGGGGCAGACCUUGAGUGUUGCAGGGGGAGACUGGAAUUCCUGGUGUAGCGGUGAAAUGCGCAGAUAUCAGGAGGAACACCCAAUGGCGAAGGCAGAUCUCUGGGCCGUAACUGACGCUGAGGAGCGAAAGCAUGGGGAGCGAACAGG